RNAcentral lists this ribosomal RNA (514 nucleotides) under uncultured bacterium. RNAcentral describes it as "partial 16S ribosomal RNA". The record is from RNAcentral.
GGAGUUAGCCGGUGCUUCUUCUGUGAGUGAUGUCCUUCCUGCCGGCUAUUAACCCGCAGGCCUUCUUCCUCACUGAAAGUGCUUUACAACCCGAAGGCCUUCUUCACACACGCGGCAUGGCUGGAUCAGGGUUGCCCCCAUUGUCCAAUAUUCCCCACUGCUGCCUCCCGUAGGAGUCUGGGCCGUGUCUCAGUCCCAGUGUGGCUGAUCAUCCUCUCAGACCAGCUACGGAUCGUCGCCUUGGUGAGCCGUUACCUCACCAACCAGCUAAUCCGACAUAGGCUCAUCCGAUAGCGCGAGGCCCGAAGGUCCCCCGCUUUCCCCCGUAGGGCGUAUGCGGUAUUAGCCUGGGUUUCCCCAGGUUAUCCCCCACUACCGGGGCAGAUUCCUAUGCAUUACUCACCCGUCCGCCGCUCGCCACCACGGAGCAAGCUCCCGUCGCUGCCGCUCGACUUGCAUGUGUUAGGUCCGUCGCCGCCACGCGUUCAAUACUGAGCCAUGAUACAACUACUGA